UAUGAGCAACUUAGUGAGCUUCAGUUAUGUCGGACGUUGUGUUGUGAAGCCCCAGUUUUAUUAAUUUAUUAUUCGCCGUGUUAACCGGUAAUCCCACUGUUGUUUUGACAAGUAUUUUAAUUAAUCUGCUCAAGUUGUUUGUCUGUGUCCAUCUAAGCAUCCCAGCUACACAGGAGAAGCGGCACAAGGCGAAAGCGUGGACCAGUCUCAUGACGCUCUCCUCUUCCACCCCUCUGUGUCUGUUUGUGAUUCUCCAUAGCAGGUAUUUUUCCCUCCUCAGUCUUGCUAGUGAUGUGUUGUAUUGUUCUUCCAGUUGCCCCGUUUGCCCCCAAGAAUAACCCUAAGACCCUAAUGGAUUCGACUUGCCUAACAUAUUUGCCUGCCUUCGUGGUUAGAACUAACCUGGGUUCUUCCUCGGGAACAUAUCCCUGCGGUUUUCUACCCCUACUCCUGUUACUGAGUUCUAGGAGUUCACACUUCUCAAAAGAGCAUUUGAGUCCCAUGUCUUCUAAAAUGAACUAUACCUCAUAAAUUCUCUCCUGAAGUCUGCUUUCCACCUGUCCCAUAAUUCCUUCAGCGCUCCCUACAGUCACAUCGUCUGCAUAAAUGGUAAAGUGAAUGCCCUUUAUCUCUUUUAAUCACUUUGCCACUUUGGACGUGACCAGGUUGAAAAGCGUAGGUGUCGCAGUCUAUCCGUGGCGUCUUAAAUUUGGCGGCUAUGACAUAGACGGCCGUUUGUAUACGGGGGAAAACUUUGCAUGCGAAUCCGUACAGUGUAACUAUAUUCGCAUAGCGUCCAUUUGGUGUCGCGCCGGUUACAAGCCGACGUUCCGACACACAACUUCCUCGUUUGUAGUCAUUUUUCACGAGCGUACACGCGAGUACUACCGGCCAAUGUCCAAGUGAAUGCGAAGAAAAGAAAAAAAGUUCAUGCAACAGUUUCUAAAAAAAAGCAACUUACUUACUGUAACAAAAAAAAACCCAAAAAAAGAAAACCGCGCGAGGGGUAGUGGUUACAUGGUGGAGCGGAAAGUUUACGACAGAAAUGUCCGUAGAACAAAAGACGGCGAAAGGAAAAAGUAGAGGCCCGCCUAAUGCUUGAAAUGAAAACCAAAACAGUUGCGAGACAUUGUUCCCAGAUGGUGGCUUCGCGUCUUCGUGUGUCCCGAACGAGGCAGCUAGAAGGAUCAUCCAUCAUUUGGGGGAGCUCGCGAAACGGAUAGCAAAGAAAGUGGAAACUGGCGAAGAGCUUGUGUGCGCUGUGUUUUUACUGAGUUAGACACUGCUGAACACGCGGUCGCGCUGCAGAAUAGGGUGGCUGCGUCGUCUGCUACGAACCGUUCGUGCGUCUGCUAAUGCGAGUGUCUUUAGGUACGAAGCUGGCGCUGACAGUUUCGCGCGAGAAAUUACCACAACGUAACGAGGCGCACUGGAACAGACGGGUUUCAUGCCGAAACUCCAACAACGGUACGCCACAUGACGUCAUGGACUUUAUUUCAGGCCACGGAACAAGCGGUGAUGUGGAGGAGACUGCAGGCUGGAACAUACCCGCAUGAAACGCUACUGCACGCCAUGUAUCCGGGGACCUGCAGGCGGGACUGCAAAUUCUGCCUGCCGGACAAGCCCAACACCCUGCGCCAUAUGGUGUUGUGGUGCAAGAAUAACCCGAACGUGACACCGACAACACCGCCAUCAGGCUCGAACGGGCCGAACAGAGCAGAACCAGAAGAGCAACAAUUAGAAGACCAGUGGGAGGCUCUGCUGCUGACGCAGGACCUUGGAAACCAACUAUGAUUGGUGGACAGGGCUCGGGCGGCAGCAGCGAGUCAUCACUACCUCGGCUGAGGGCUCAAGCCUGGUCGCACAAUAAAGUUUAUUUCUCUCUCUUUCGCGUCCCUUCAAGUCGUCGGUGUUCAAGUUAAUUCGUUUAUUUAACGUCCACAGAUGCACAGAAAAAAAUAACUAGGUCCGGGUUGGUGCGGCAAAUUAUAUGCUUCGACAUUUGUUUCGAUGGAUCGUUGGGCGAAGCAGAUAAAUUUGUACCUCUGUUAAAGAUCGAAGUUCAAAUAUGGGACUCCGCAUGCGCAGACCAUGACGUCAACGGCGCUGCGAAUGACGCGUAAGCCGGCUGUGUGUUUGGCAGUGUUUCACCAACUUCAAGUGUAUGUGUUUUUUUGCUGAUUUAUUAGUACGUGUACAAUACACGCACGUACUCCGAAGCAAAGCAUGGGUCACGGGUUGUUUCAAGUAUCAUUUUCAACUUCAAGGCCGUCGAGUAGUUGGUUGUUCCUUGAUUUCUUGUGCUUUUGGAUAAAAGAUUAUUCUAAGCUGUUCAAAGGAGUCAUACGCGACAACGUAUUAAGCAUUGCAAACGUUUAAACAUGGCUGGCUAGGAAGAAUUAUUCGAUAACUACGCCGUUGUAUUCCAGCAAUAA
Rhipicephalus sanguineus (brown dog tick) is the source of this 2435-nucleotide long non-coding RNA. RefSeq lists it as uncharacterized. The transcript has 3 exons. Lineage: Eukaryota; Metazoa; Arthropoda; Arachnida; Ixodida; Ixodidae. The record is from RefSeq and is a predicted model, not a curated record.